This 425-nucleotide ribosomal RNA is filed under the name uncultured bacterium. RNAcentral's name for it is "partial 16S ribosomal RNA". It matches the Rfam family "Bacterial small subunit ribosomal RNA", at positions 354 to 796 of the family's 1533-position model. The record is from RNAcentral.
GUGGGGAAUCUUGCGCAAUGGGCGAAAGCCUGACGCAGCCAUGCCGCGUGAAUGAUGAAGGUCUUAGGAUUGUAAAAUUCUUUCACCGGGGACGAUAAUGACGUUACCCGGAGAAGAAGCUCCGGCUAACUUCGUGCCAGCAGCCGCGGUAAUACGAAGGGGGCUAGCGUUGCUCGGAAUUACUGGGCGUAAAGGGCGCGUAGGCGGACAGCUUAGUCAGAGGUGAAAGCCCAGGGCUCAACCUUGGAAUUGCCUUUGAUACUGGCUGUCUUGAGUUUGGGAGAAGUGAGUGGAACUCCGAGUGUAGAGGUGAAAAUCGUAGAUAUUCGGAAGAACACCAGUGGCGAAGGCGACUCACUGGCCCAAUACUGACGCUGAGGCGCGAAAGCGUGGGGAGCAAACAGGAUUAGAAACCCGGGUAGUCC